Molecule: ribosomal RNA, 462 nt
Filed under: uncultured bacterium
Lineage: Bacteria
Description: SSU rRNA
Rfam family: Bacterial small subunit ribosomal RNA
Source: RNAcentral
AGGACGAACGCUGGCGGUGUGCUUCACACAUGCAAGUCGAACGGGGUAGCAAUACCCAGUGGCGGACGGGUGAGUAACGCGUAGGAAUCUGCCUUAAGAUGGGGGAUAGCAGACCGAAAGGUCUAUUAAUACCGCAUAUGUAUACAGCCCGACAGGGCAGUAUAUGAAAGGAGUAAUCCGUCUUUAGAUGAGCCUGCGUCCGAUUAGCUAGUUGGUGGGGUAAGAGCCUACCAAGGCGACGAUCGGUAGCUGGUCUGAGAGGACGAUCAGCCACACUGGGAUUGAGAACGGCCCAGACUCCUACGGGGGCAGCAGCGAGGAAUUUUCCGCAAUGGACGCAAGUCUGACGGAGCAACGCCGCGUGCAGGAUGAAGGUUUUCGGAUCGUAAACUGCUUUUCUCGGGGACGAGCAAGGACGGUACCCGAGGAAGAAGCCCCGGCUAACUACGUGCCAGCAGCCGC